This 490-nucleotide ribosomal RNA is filed under the name uncultured bacterium. RNAcentral's name for it is "bacterial SSU rRNA". It matches the Rfam family "Bacterial small subunit ribosomal RNA", at positions 798 to 1289 of the family's 1533-position model. The record is from RNAcentral.
CGCUGUAAACGAUGUCUACUAGCCGUUGGAGGACUUGAUCCUUUAGUGGCGCAGCUAACGCGAUAAGUAGACCGCCUGGGGAGUACGGUCGCAAGAUUAAAACUCAAAUGAAUUGACGGGGGCCCGCACAAGCGGUGGAGCAUGUGGUUUAAUUCGAAGCAACGCGAAGAACCUUACCUACUCUUGACAUCCAGUGAACUUUUGAGAGAUCAAUUGGUGCCUUCGGGAACACUGAGACAGGUGCUGCAUGGCUGUCGUCAGCUCGUGUUGUGAAAUGUUGGGUUAAGUCCCGUAACGAGCGCAACCCUUGUCCUUAGUUACCAUCAUUAAGUUGGGGACUCUAAGGAGACUGCCGGUGACAAACCGGAGGAAGGCGGGGACGACGUCAAGUCAUCAUGGCCCUUACGAGUAGGGCUACACACGUGCUACAAUGGCAUGUACAAAGGGUUGCCAAGCCGCGAGGUGGAGCUAAUCCCAUAAAGCAUGUCGU